CCUAUAAGACUGGGAUAACUUCGGGAAACCGGAGCUAAUACCGGAUAACAUUUGGAACCGCAUGGUUCUAAAGUGAAAGAUGGUUUUGCUAUCACUUAUAGAUGGACCCGCGCCGUAUUAGCUAGUUGGUAAGGUAACGGCUUACCAAGGCGACGAUACGUAGCCGACCUGAGAGGGUGAUCGGCCACACUGGAACUGAGACACGGUCCAGACUCCUACGGGAGGCAGCAGUAGGGAAUCUUCCGCAAUGGGCGAAAGCCUGACGGAGCAACGCCGCGUGAGUGAUGAAGGGUUUCGGCUCGUAAAACUCUGUUAUUAGGGAAGAACAAAUGUGUAAGUAACUGUGCACGUCUUGACGGUACCUAAUCAGAAAGCCACGGCUAACUACGUGCCAGCAGCCGCGGUAAUACGUAGGUGGCAAGCGUUAUCCGGAAUUAUUGGGCGUAAAGCGCGCGUAGGCGGUUUCUUAAGUCUGAUGUGAAAGCCCACGGCUCAACCGUGGACGGUCAUUGGAAACUGGGAAACUUGAGUGCAGAAGAGGAAAGUGGAAUUCCAUGUGUAGCGGUGAAAUGCGCAGAGAUAUGGAGGAACACCAGUGGCGAAGGCGACUUUCUGGUCUGUAACUGACGCUGAUGUGCGAAAGCGUGGGGAUCAAACAGGAUUAGAUACCCUGGUAGUCCACGCCGUAAACGAUGAGUGCUAAGUGUUAGGGGGUUUCCGCCCCUUAGUGCUGCAGCUAACGCAUUAAGCACUCCGCCUGGGGAGUACGACCGCAAGGUUGAAACUCAAA
This 790-nucleotide ribosomal RNA is filed under the name uncultured Staphylococcus sp. RNAcentral's name for it is "bacterial SSU rRNA". It matches the Rfam family "Bacterial small subunit ribosomal RNA", at positions 129 to 905 of the family's 1533-position model. Lineage: Bacteria; Bacillati; Bacillota; Bacilli; Caryophanales; Staphylococcaceae. The record is from RNAcentral.